AGAGCGAACGCUGGCGGCAGGCCUAACACAUGCAAGUCGAGCGCCCGUAGCAAUACGGGAGCGGCAGACGGGAGAGUAACACGUGGGAACGCGCCCUUCGGUUCGGAAUAACUCAGGGAAACUUGAGCUAAUACCGGAUACGCCCUUACGGGGAAAGAUUUAUUGCCGAAGGAACGGCCCGCGUCCGAUUAGCUAGUUGGUGAGGUAAUGGCUCACCAAGGCGACGAUCGGUAGCUGGUCUGAGAGGAUGACCAGCCUCACUGGGACUGAGACACGGCCCAGACUCCUACGGGAGGCAGCAGUGGGGAAUAUUGGACAAUGGGCGCAAGCCUGAUCCAGCCAUGCCGCGUGGAUGAUGAAGGCCCUAGGGUUGUAAAGUCCUUUAACGGGGAAGAUAAUGACGGUACCGUAGAAUAAGCCCCGGCUAACUUCGUGCCAGCAGCCGC
This 446-nucleotide ribosomal RNA is filed under the name uncultured bacterium. Its description in RNAcentral is "SSU rRNA". It matches the Rfam family "Bacterial small subunit ribosomal RNA", at positions 26 to 518 of the family's 1533-position model. The record is from RNAcentral.